RNAcentral lists this ribosomal RNA (496 nucleotides) under uncultured bacterium. RNAcentral's name for it is "partial 16S ribosomal RNA". It matches the Rfam family "Bacterial small subunit ribosomal RNA", at positions 29 to 507 of the family's 1533-position model. The record is from RNAcentral.
AUGAACGCUGGCGGCGUGCCUAAUACAUGCAAGUCGAGCGAACAGACGAGGAGCUUGCUCCUCUGACGUUAGCGGCGGACGGGUGAGUAACACGUGGAUAACCUACCUAUAAGACUGGGAUAACUUCGGGAAACCGGAGCUAAUACCGGAUAAUAUAUUGAACCGCAUGGUUCAAUAGUGAAAGACGGUUUUGCUGUCACUUAUAGAUGGAUCCGCGCCGCAUUAGCUAGUUGGUAAGGUAACGGCUUACCAAGGCAACGAUGCGUAGCCGACCUGAGAGGGGGGUCGGGCACACUGGAAAUGGGACACCGGCCAGACUCCUACGGGAGGGAGGAGGAGGGAAUCUUGCGCAAUGGGCGAAAGCCUGAAGGAGCAACGCCGCGUGAGUGAUGAAGGUCUUCGGAUCGUAAAACUCUGUUAUUAGGGAAGAACAAAUGUGUAAGUAACUAUGCACGUCUUGACGGUACCUAAUCAGAAAGCCACGGCUAACUACGUG